This 67-nucleotide transfer RNA is filed under the name Cryptomonas curvata. It matches the Rfam family "tRNA". Rfam says of the family: Transfer RNA (tRNA) molecules are approximately 80 nucleotides in length. Their secondary structure includes four short double-helical elements and three loops (D, anti-codon, and T loops). The record is from RNAcentral. Lineage: Eukaryota; Cryptophyceae; Cryptomonadales; Cryptomonadaceae.
GGAAUUUAGUCUAGUGGUAUGAUUCUCGUUUAGGGUACGAGAGGUCCCGGGUUCAAUUCCCGGAAUU